RNAcentral lists this long non-coding RNA (3796 nucleotides) under Homo sapiens (human). Its description in RNAcentral is "GOT1 divergent transcript, transcript variant 15 (GOT1-DT)". The record is from RNAcentral. Lineage: Eukaryota; Metazoa; Chordata; Mammalia; Primates; Hominidae.
GAGCGAGCGGCGGGUGUCCCUGAGAGGCCACCUUUCGACCUUCGAGGGCCAGGAGGAUACGGGGAGGUGGCCGGAGGGAGUUCCCGAACACAGGUCUUCCUGUUCCCGCCGAGCAGGUGUUGGCGGUGCCAGGCCCGGCCUGGCGGGCCCGGGCUGGCAGCCAAAUACCCAGCGUCUGUGCUCGGGACGGGAGUGUUCGUCCAGGACGUGCAGCUCCGGAGCCUGCGCGGGCGACCUUGACCACCUUUGUCGGCUGUUUCCCCCUGAGGGAAGUAUACCUGUCCUGCCAGCCUUGGUCUCUGGCAGGGAAGGUCCUUCCAACAGAGAGGGGUGCGCACGAAUUCCUUUUUGCCGCUCUUCUAUUAAUAGUUUGAGAUUUUCCUCCCCGAUUCCUUGCAGAGAGGGCCUGGUCCUCAAGGACCUCGGGAUCUGGGCGCGACGUCCCUUCCCAGCUUCCUCCCGCGCGCACCGGACCAGAUCUUGCUGUCGUCAGCUGGCUGGUACCCAAAGUUCCUCUUCGUCAGGCUGUUCCUUCCCCGUUAGAGUCCUUCCUCCCCAGGAGCCCUCUCCAUCUGCUGACCUUCAAGACCCAGAGCGAAUGCCACUUCAUCCAUGAAGCCUUCCCUUAACCCUUAUCUGGCCAAAAUGUCUCUUUCCUGUGCUUCUGUACUUUCACAAUUUUAGAAAAUGCCUUUGUGGUUAAAAACCUAUCUCCGGGACCGGACUAUCUAGGUUUAGAUUCUGGCUGCCGCUUACGAAUUUGGGCAGGUUUAGUCAAGUUAUUUUAACCUCUCUGUGGAAGUUCCUGCUCUGUGGAAAUAAUAGUAUUUUCCUCAGAGUUGGUGUGGGGAGUUUGUGAGUUAAUACAUUUACGAAGUGGUUAGUUGCAUGUAAGAAGGACUCUCUAAAUGUCAGCUAUUAUUAACAUUGCAUAUCUGCCACACCCUUCAUAGAUGGUAAACUGCUUUUUUUUUUUUUUUUACUUUUAUUUUAGGUUCGGGAUACAUGCACAGGUUUGUUUUAUAGAUAAAUUGCUUGUCAUGUGGGUUUGUUGUACAAAUUAUUUUGUCACCCAGAUAGUAAGCAUAGUACUUGACAGGUAUUUUUUCUGAUCCUCUCCCUCCUCCCACCCUCUAGCCUCAAGUAGGUCCCAGUGUCUGUUGUUCUCUUCUUUGUGUCCAUGUGUUCUCAAUGUUUAGCUCCCACUUACAAGUCAGAACAUGCAGUAUUUGGUUUUCUCUUCCGCAUUAGUUCACUUAGGAUAAAGGCCUCCAGCUCCAUCCAUGUUGCUACAAAGGACAUGAUCUCUUUCUUUUUUAUGGCUGCAUAGUAGUCCAUGGUGUAUAUGUACCGUAUUUUCUUCAGUCUACUGGUGAUGGGCAUUUAGGUUGAUGCCAUGUCUUUACGAUUGUGAAUAGUGCUGCAGUGAACAUACAUGUACAUAUAUCUUUAUGGUAGAAUGAUUUAUAUUCUUUUGGGUAUAGACCCAAUACUGGGAUUGUUGGGUCGAAUGGUAAUUCUGUUUUAAGUUCUUUGAGAAAUCGCCACACUGCUUUCCGCGGUUACUGAACUAAUUUACAUUCCCACCAGCAUUGUAUAAGCAUUCCCUUUUCUCCACAACCUCACCAGAAACCAGCAUCUGUUAUUUCUUGACUUUUAUUAAUAGCCAUUCUGACUGGUGUGAGAUGAUAUCUCAUUGUAGUUUUGAUUUGGGUUUCUCUAGUGAUUAGUGAUGUUGAGUAUUUUAUAUGCUUGUUGGCCAUGUAGCUUCUUUUGGCUAGGGACCUGUGAGUCUCCCUAGGUUUCUUGCACUUACUAAGCCUUCAACAAAUGGUAGAAGAGUCAAUUCUCUUGGUGUUUCAGAAGAAAACAAUAUCACAGCCCCUCUCCACUGGAUAAUACUAUAAAUCUUAAAAUGAAUUUUCAUUCAGAGUAAUAAACACAAGCCAAAGAACUUUGUAUAACAUCCGUCAACUUUUUGUGUUAUCUAUUUCUUUUCCAAAACAUUGCCUCUGGUUUUAAAGGUAACUGCCCACAGUGUUUCACUAAUAACAUUUUAAGCAUUACAAGUUCAACACUGAAGGUCAAAUGACAACGAACUUUCAGUGCUUCCAAAAGCAGGGGCAGAGGGCAACUGCUGAGGGGGGCAUUGUAUAGCCUAACCUUCCCAGAAUUUGAUUUAAAAGUAUGAUCUUCACAGCGUUGGCCAGCAAUAUCAUGGUCACUCCCUACGUCAUUCCCUGGGAGAAAAACAACCCUAGGUUACCUAAACAAUGUUGGCGAAGACCAAAUAUUUAUUAACAUCCUAAGCCGCCCCAUAAUCAAGCCAAUGCUGAUAGGGACAAAGAAGGUGCCAUGUGCAGUUUUUCUCCAUGUCCCCACAAUAUCUGCUCUGAAUUUUAAAAGGCAAUUACUGGGGGAGAAGGAAGCCUAUAUAUUAUGUAGGAUCCAAGUCUCAAACUGCUUUCCUAGGGAGUGUGAGGUUCUUGGAGAUUAAGUGCAGUACCUUUCUGUCUUGAGCCUUGUAGGCUGCCCCUCUAAUUUAAUGCCAGUCUUGAAAUAAACAGAAUGCUUUCCAAGUCAUCGCUAAUUUUAACACUUUAAAUUUAGAAUUGCUUAGAAUUGACUCAACACUGCCUCCUUGCUGAAUGGAUAAUUCAAGCAAACAACUCAAGAGCUGGAUGCUGCCCAGACAGGUAGGCAGCCAGAUAAAGUGAGUGUCCAGGGAAAGAGCAGUAAGGGUCAGAAGAGAAAGAGCCUGGUGUUCUCACUGCCUCCUGCCUUCCUUAUGACUGUCUGUUCAGAAGUCCUCCUAGCAUCUUUCUUCUGCCUUCCCCUGCUCCUGUCCCUGAAACCUUUUCUUCAAAAGAAGUGGAAAAGAGGAACUGGGAACCCAUAUAGCAACAGCAUCACCUGGAAUGAAUUCCUUUAGAACAUACUGUCUUGGAAAUCUGAAGCCUGCAGGGCUGGACAGGCAAGAAGAGCAGUGAGCACUGCAUGAACCUUUCUCUCCUUCCCUCCCUUACGUAUGACUCCUCCCAUAAUCCGCACACAUGGAUUGAACCAAGUGAGGGUAUUUUUCUGUUUCCUACCUCAUAGAAGGGCAUAGAGUGGACACGGUCUAAGGCAUGUACUCCGAAAUAUUUUUCAAAUGGAAAAGAAAACAGAGAACACAAUUUUCAAAAUAUCUAGAGCCCUCCAAGAAGUCUUUGUAGAGAUCUAUAAAAUCUCAAGGCAAUUUAAAGAAAAAUGUUUUAGAAACACUAUUCUCUCCACAUCCUGGGGCAGCAGCCUUCUCCAAAGAAACAGAAAGAAGGAAAUGGAUUGCCUUAGCAAAAAAACAAAUGAAGACACUCCAAAUAACAGAAGAAUGGGAAGGCUACAGACCUUGAAGUCAGAAGAAAAUUUCCUCUCCUUGCCCCGUUUCUCCUUAAAUGGAUCACCAGUACAGUCUCUUACUUCUAGAGCCAUGUUAAGCUUUCUUCCCCAAAGUUGUAAUGUCCUUCUUUUGGUUGUGUCGUGUCCUAAAAUCCUACUCUUUGGUACAAGAUGAAGGUAUAUGAAGAGAUAAUGAAGGAAACAAAUUCAAUGUGUUUGCCAAGAACACAGUCUUUUAAAUAACUCUUAAAGGGUUCGUUUAAAACAGUGUAAUAAAUUGUGGUAAUCUAGUACACAAAGCUAGUAGGAACCUCGUUUAUUAAUAAUAUUUCAACAUUGAGCAGUAGAGGGCAGCACUAUCCUUCUUUUGCAAAAUGUUGAGCACUCUUGAGAAGGAAAAUAAAGGCAAAGCUCCUGA